RNAcentral lists this ribosomal RNA (304 nucleotides) under uncultured bacterium. RNAcentral's name for it is "partial 16S ribosomal RNA". It matches the Rfam family "Bacterial small subunit ribosomal RNA", at positions 506 to 809 of the family's 1533-position model. The record is from RNAcentral.
CAGCAGCCGCCGCGGGAAUACAGAGGGUGCGAGCGUUAAUCGGAUUUACUGGGCGUAAAGCGUGCGUAGGCGGCUUUUUAAGUCGGAUGUGAAAUCCCUGAGCUUAACUUAGGAAUUGCAUUCGAUACUGGGAAGCUAGAGUAUGGGAGAGGAUGGUAGAAUUCCAGGUGUAGCGGUGAAAUGCGUAGAGAUCUGGAGGAAUACCGAUGGCGAAGGCAGCCAUCUGGCCUAAUACUGACGCUGAGGUACGAAAGCAUGGGGAGCAAACAGGAUUAGAUACCCGGGUAGUCCUGUCUCUUAUACA